This 462-nucleotide ribosomal RNA is filed under the name uncultured bacterium. RNAcentral's name for it is "partial 16S ribosomal RNA". It matches the Rfam family "Bacterial small subunit ribosomal RNA", at positions 28 to 523 of the family's 1533-position model. The record is from RNAcentral.
GAUGAACGCUGGCGGCGCGCCUAAAACAUGCAAGUCGAGCGGCAGCACGGUCUUCGGACUGGUGGCGAGCGGCGGACGGCUGAGUAACACGUAGGAACAUACCCCGAAGUGAGGGAUAACUGCUCGAAAGAGUAGCUAAUACCGCAUGUGAUCUAAGGAUUAAAGCUUUAUGCGCUUUGGGAAUGGCCUGCGUCUGAUUAGUUUGUUGGUGAGGUAAUGGCUCACCAAGACUACGAUCAGUAGCGGGUCUGAGAGGAUGAUCAGCCAGACUGGGACUGAGACACGGCCCAGACUCCUACGGGAGGCAGCAGUUAGGAAUUUUCCACAAUGGGCGAAAGCCUGAUGGAGCAACGCCGCGUGCAGGAUGAAUGCCUUCGGGUUGUAAACUGCUUUUAUAUGUGACGAAUAUGACGGUAGCAUAUGAAUAAGGAUCGGCUAACUCCGUGCCAGCCGCCGCCGUAA